CUACGGGGCGCACCAGUGGGGAAUAUUGGACAAUGGGCGCAAGCCUGAUCCAGCAAUGCCGCGUGAGUGAAGACGGCCUUAGGGUUGUAAAACUCUUUCGCUAGGGAAGAUAAUGACUGUACCUAGUAAAGAAGUCCCGGCUAACUCCGUGCCAGCAGCCGCGGUAAUACGGAGGGGACUAGCGUUGUUCGGAAUUACUGGGCGUAAAGAGUUCGUAGGCGGACUGACAAGUUAGAGGUGAAAUCCCAGGGCUCAACCCUGGAACUGCCUUUAAAACUGUCAGUCUAGAGACCGGAAGAGGUUAGGGGAAUACCUAGUGUAGAGGUGAAAUUCGUAGAUAUUAGGUGGAACACCAGUGGCGAAGGCGCCUAACUGGUCCGGUACUGACGCUGAGGAACGAAAGCGUGGGGAGCAAACAGGAUUAGAUACCCGUGUAGUC
Molecule: ribosomal RNA, 439 nt
Filed under: uncultured bacterium
Lineage: Bacteria
Description: partial 16S ribosomal RNA
Rfam family: Bacterial small subunit ribosomal RNA
Source: RNAcentral